RNAcentral lists this ribosomal RNA (253 nucleotides) under uncultured bacterium. Its description in RNAcentral is "partial 16S ribosomal RNA". It matches the Rfam family "Bacterial small subunit ribosomal RNA", at positions 524 to 776 of the family's 1533-position model. The record is from RNAcentral.
UACGGAGGGUGCAAACGUUGCUCGGAAUCAUUGGGCGUAAAGCGCACGUAGGCGGCCUGUUAAGUCGGGUGUGAAAGCCCUGGGCUCAACCCAGGAAGUGCACUCGAAACUGGCGGGCUUGAAUAUGGAAGAGGGUCGCGGAAUUCCUGGUGUAGCGGUGAAAUGCGCAGAUAUCAGGAGGAACACCGGUGGCGAAGGCGGGUCUCUGGGCCGUAACUGACGCUGAGGAGCGAAAGCGUGGGGAGCGAACAGG